RNAcentral lists this ribosomal RNA (457 nucleotides) under uncultured bacterium. RNAcentral describes it as "bacterial SSU rRNA". It matches the Rfam family "Bacterial small subunit ribosomal RNA", at positions 340 to 786 of the family's 1533-position model. The record is from RNAcentral.
UACGGAAGGCAGCAGUGGGGAAUAUUGCACAAUGGGCGCAAGCCUGAUGCAGCCAUGCCGCGUGUAUGAAAAAGGCCUUCGGGUUGUAAAGUACUUUCAGUCGUGAGGAAGGUGUUAAGGUUAAUAACCUUAGCAAUUGACGUUAGCGACAGAAGAAGCACCGGCUAACUCCGUGCCAGCAGCCGCGGUAAUACGGAGGGUGCGAGCGUUAAUCGGAAUUACUGGGCGUAAAGGGCACGCAGGCGGUUAAUUAAGUUGGAUGUGAAAUCCCCGGGCUUAACCUGGGAAUGGCAUUCAAGACUGGUUAGCUAGAGUCUUGUAGAGGGGGUAGAAUUCCAUGUGUAGCGGUGAAAUGCGUAGAGAUGUGGAGGAAUAACCGGUGGCGAAGGCGGCCCCUGGACAAAGGACUGACGCUCAUGUGCGAAAAGCGUGGGGAGCAAAACAGGGAUUAGAUACC